GGCCGGUUAGCUCAGUUGGUUGAGCAUGGUGCUGACAACACCAAGGUCAUGAGUUCAAUCCCCAUUCGGUCC
This 72-nucleotide transfer RNA is filed under the name Apaloderma vittatum (bar-tailed trogon). It matches the Rfam family "tRNA". From Rfam's summary of the family: Transfer RNA (tRNA) molecules are approximately 80 nucleotides in length. Lineage: Eukaryota; Metazoa; Chordata; Aves; Trogoniformes; Trogonidae. The record is from Rfam by way of RNAcentral.